Non-coding RNA from Kogia breviceps (pygmy sperm whale), 364 nucleotides. The record is from RefSeq and is a predicted model, not a curated record. NCBI's taxonomy places the organism in Eukaryota, Metazoa, Chordata, Mammalia, Artiodactyla, Physeteridae.
GCCACGUCCAGAGAAGCAAAAGAGAACAUCUCAUCCGGCAGCCCUCUUCUAGGAAUGAGGAAACUUUUCCCAGAAGCCCUCUAUGAGGGUCCCCGCACGUUUCUACAGACCCCUUGCUGAGAAAGGUCUGGUACAGGCUACUCUCUACACUUCAGCUGCUCCUUUCUGAUUCCCCGACUCGCCAAGCUUGUUUCUUUCUCCCGUCCUGUACUCUUGCUGCUCCUUCUCCCUGGCACACUGUGUCCCCUGAACGUCACAUGACUGGCUUCAUCUCAUCAUUCAAGUUUCAGCUGAGAUGUUACCUCUUCCUCAGAGAGAUUCUCCAUUGAAAAUUGAACCCCCCUCCUCCUCACUCUCUACCACA